UACGUAGGGUGCAAGCGUUGUCCGGAAUUAUUGGGCGUAAAGAGCUCGUAGGCGGUCUGUUGCGUCGGCUGUGAAAACCCGGGGCUCAACUCCGGGCCUGCAGCCGAUACGGGCAGACUAGAGUUCGGCAGGGGAGACUGGAAUUCCUGGUGUAGCGGUGAAAUGCGCAGAUAUCAGGAGGAACACCGGUGGCGAAGGCGGGUCUCUGGGCAGUAACUGACGCUGAGGAGCGAAAGCGUGGGGAGCGAACGGG
RNAcentral lists this ribosomal RNA (253 nucleotides) under uncultured bacterium. RNAcentral's name for it is "partial 16S ribosomal RNA". It matches the Rfam family "Bacterial small subunit ribosomal RNA", at positions 524 to 776 of the family's 1533-position model. The record is from RNAcentral.